UAUGUGAUCGUCUCUCGCAUAUCAAUAAGCGGAGGAAAAGAAACUAACAAGGAUUCCCCUAGUAACGGCGAGUGAAGCGGGAAGAGCUCAAAUUUGAAAUCUUAAAGGGUUUCCCUUUACGAAUUGUAGUUUAAAGAAGUGUUUUCUGUUGAGGUUUUGGUAAAAGUUCUUUGGAAUAGGACAUCAUAGAGGGUGAGAAUCCCGUAUUUGACCUUUACUUUCAACUUUGUGAUACACUUUCAAAGAGUCGGAUUGUUUGGGGAUGCAGUCCAAAAUGGGUGGUAAAUUUCAUCUAAAGCUAAAUAUUGGCGAGAGACCGAUAGCGAACAAGUACCGUGAGGGAAAGAUGAAAAGAACUUUGAAAAGAGAGUUAAACAGUACGUGAAAUUGUCAAAAGGGAAGCGUUUGACACCAGUGUUGUUUUUCUGAAAAUCAAUUAAAGAACUGUUUAUGCUAAGCUGUUUAGACUUUAUCAGCUAUCUGUUUAGUUUUAGGCUUUUCUUUAAUGCACUUUUCAGUUAACAAGUCAACAUCAAUUUCUUUUGCUGUAAAAAAGCUUGAGGAAGGUGGCUUGAGAUUCGUCUUAAGUGUUUAUAGCCUCUUGCCUAUGCAGUCGGAGAGAUUGAGGUCUGCAGCGUAGAUCCUUCGGGGCUAAAUGCAUUUGUGCUAAGUUAUAGCAUUUUAUAGACAACUUGUUGACUAUGAUUUGUCUUGUAGCUUACUCGCUUAUGUUAUUUUACCUACGCUUAGGAUGUUGAUCUACAGAGCGAGAGU
RNAcentral lists this ribosomal RNA (774 nucleotides) under uncultured Neocallimastigales. Its description in RNAcentral is "partial large subunit ribosomal RNA". It matches the Rfam family "Eukaryotic large subunit ribosomal RNA", at positions 24 to 635 of the family's 3401-position model. The record is from RNAcentral. Lineage: Eukaryota; Fungi; Neocallimastigomycota; Neocallimastigomycetes; Neocallimastigales.